This 396-nucleotide ribosomal RNA is filed under the name Triticum aestivum (bread wheat). RNAcentral describes it as "partial small subunit ribosomal RNA". Lineage: Eukaryota; Viridiplantae; Streptophyta; Magnoliopsida; Poales; Poaceae. The record is from RNAcentral.
AUGGCUCCUACCGAGGCUGAGGAUGAUGUAGAGGAGGGAGAAGAGAAGAAGAAGAGGGAAAGGAAGGCAGCCGGAGCUGCUUUCACGUGGAUUCAAAAUAACUUUGCGACGUGCCCUCCGGAUGCAACUGAUGAUGUGAUCCAGACACAUGCUCGUGUGUAUAUGUGGUACAUUGUGUCGAGGACUUUGUUUCCUGACUCCACUGGCAAGAACGCUCCAUGGAUGUGGCUGAAGGCGUUGACCGUCUUCGAUAGCAAAUGGAGCUGGGGUUCAACGACUCUUGCCUACUUGUACCGACAGGUAGUUGGUCUGUUUUGUGAUCAACUCAUUUAUUCAUUAGCAAUGCAAGCUUGCUGUCAAGUUAACAUUGUUUUUCUUUCAUAUGUAGCUGGAUGA